RNAcentral lists this long non-coding RNA (337 nucleotides) under Homo sapiens (human). RNAcentral describes it as "non-protein coding lnc-LINC00854-1:35". Lineage: Eukaryota; Metazoa; Chordata; Mammalia; Primates; Hominidae. The record is from RNAcentral.
UGGCGAAAUUGUGGACAUCACAGGAGCAACCACAGCCAUCACAGCAGCAGCCAUCAGUGCAGCCACCAUCACAGCCACCACCACAGCCAUCAACAUUGCCACAGGCACAGGUCUCAUGAACCCAUGCCAAUCUAGCCCCAUCAGAAACACUGGGUAUUCACAACUCAAGUCUACCAAUUACAUACAGCAGUGGUGAUCCAGAGAUUGAACCCAGGACCCCAUGGCCAUCCCCAAAAUGCAGAUGAGCAACCACAUCUUCUCAGCAUCCAGCAAUAUCUCCACUCCAAAAGCCACCCACUCUAGAAGAGGAGGCUGCCAGGAAUAAAAUGUAAUUUUU